This 1239-nucleotide ribosomal RNA is filed under the name Klebsiella quasipneumoniae. RNAcentral's name for it is "partial 23S ribosomal RNA". It matches the Rfam family "Bacterial large subunit ribosomal RNA", at positions 590 to 1816 of the family's 2925-position model. Lineage: Bacteria; Pseudomonadati; Pseudomonadota; Gammaproteobacteria; Enterobacterales; Enterobacteriaceae. The record is from RNAcentral.
GGUGUGACUGCGUACCUUUUGUAUAAUGGGUCAGCGACUUAUAUUCUGUAGCAAGGUUAACCGUAUAGGGGAGCCGCAGGGAAACCGAGUCUUAACUGGGCGUUAAGUUGCAGGGUAUAGACCCGAAACCCGGUGAUCUAGCCAUGGGCAGGUUGAAGGUUGGGUAACACUAACUGGAGGACCGAACCGACUAAUGUUGAAAAAUUAGCGGAUGACUUGUGGCUGGGGGUGAAAGGCCAAUCAAACCGGGAGAUAGCUGGUUCUCCCCGAAAGCUAUUUAGGUAGCGCCUCGUGAACUCAUCUUCGGGGGUAGAGCACUGUUUCGGCUAGGGGGUCAUCCCGACUUACCAACCCGAUGCAAACUACGAAUACCGAAGAAUGUUAUCACGGGAGACACACGGCGGGUGCUAACGUCCGUCGUGAAGAGGGAAACAACCCAGACCGCCAGCUAAGGUCCCAAAGUCAUGGUUAAGUGGGAAACGAUGUGGGAAGGCACAGACAGCCAGGAUGUUGGCUUAGAAGCAGCCAUCAUUUAAAGAAAGCGUAAUAGCUCACUGGUCGAGUCGGCCUGCGCGGAAGAUGUAACGGGGCUAAACCAUGCACCGAAGCUGCGGCAGCGACACUAUGUGUUGUUGGGUAGGGGAGCGUUCUGUAAGCCUGCGAAGGUGACCUGUGAGGGUUGCUGGAGGUAUCAGAAGUGCGAAUGCUGACAUAAGUAACGAUAAAGCGGGUGAAAAGCCCGCUCGCCGGAAGACCAAGGGUUCCUGUCCAACGUUAAUCGGGGCAGGGUGAGUCGACCCCUAAGGCGAGGCCGAAAGGCGUAGUCGAUGGGAAACAGGUUAAUAUUCCUGUACUUGGUGUUACUGCGAAGGGGGGACGGAGAAGGCUAUGUUAGCCGGGCGACGGUUGUCCCGGUUUAAGCAUGUAGGCUGGUUAUCCAGGCAAAUCCGGAUAAUCAAGGCUGAGGUGUGAUGACGAGGCACUACGGUGCUGAAGUAACAAAUGCCCUGCUUCCAGGAAAAGCCUCUAAGCAUCAGGUAACAUCAAAUCGUACCCCAAACCGACACAGGUGGUCAGGUAGAGAAUACCAAGGCGCUUGAGAGAACUCGGGUGAAGGAACUAGGCAAAAUGGUGCCGUAACUUCGGGAGAAGGCACGCUGGUGUGUAGGUGAAGUCCCUGCGGAUGGAGCUGAGACCAGUCGAAGAUACCAGCUGGCUGCAACUGUUUAUUAAAAACAC